Small nucleolar RNA from Salvia miltiorrhiza (redroot sage), 105 nucleotides. RefSeq annotates it as small nucleolar RNA Z103. The record is from RefSeq and is a predicted model, not a curated record. The transcript has a single exon. Lineage: Eukaryota; Viridiplantae; Streptophyta; Magnoliopsida; Lamiales; Lamiaceae.
AUGGAGGUGAAGAAUUUUUCCUCUCAUGGUUCGACGCUUAAAUAACUGAGCGCUCUUAUAUUUUCUCAAUUCGUGGUGAAAAUCCAAGCCAAAAUUCUUAUCAAC